This 73-nucleotide transfer RNA is filed under the name Cordylochernes scorpioides. Its description in RNAcentral is "tRNA-Ser". Lineage: Eukaryota; Metazoa; Arthropoda; Arachnida; Pseudoscorpiones; Chernetidae. The record is from RNAcentral.
UGUCAAGGGAUGGGAAUCGAACCCACGACCUUCCGCUUACCGGGCAGAUGCCAUGACCACUACGACCUAGGAC